GUAAAGUAUAUAUAUAUAUAUAUAUAUAUAUAUAUAUAUAUAUAUAUAUAUAUAUAUAUAUAUAUAUAUAUAUAUUAUAUAUAUGAAAUAGUAGUUUAAAUACUUGUAGUUAUUCUUUCAUCACUCUGUACCUUCUUAAAUCUGUUUUCAACAGAUCCGCACCACACAUUUCAGCCUUGCUCUGUACAGACUCUGUAAAGUUUUGCAUUUUGACUUUUCAUUUUCCACUGUUCCUGGAGAUCUACCUUCCUGAAGACUUUAGCUCCAAGCAUAAUCGUGCCCACCUGACCAUUUAAGGCAUCAUAAAUGAUCACUUUACUGAAAUAAUCAGACAAUAAUGGGUGCCCCAGCUGGUCCAGGGGCUGUAAACAACCACUUAUACAACGAUAUAACCUUGUAUUGAUUAAACUGAUCAAAUUAUUCAUCCUGCUUAAUACUUUUUGUGUUUUCUUCCCUCACAGACAGAUCAGUGCUUACAGACAGAUCAGUGCUUACAAACAGAUCAGUGCUUACAGACAGAUCAGUGCACACAGACAGAUCAGUGCUUACAGACAGAUCAGUGCACACAGACGGAUCAGUGCACACAGACGGAUCAGUGCACAGAGACGGAUCAGUGCACACAGACAGAUCAGUGCACACAGACGGAUCAGUGCACACAGACAGAUCA
Long non-coding RNA from Ictalurus punctatus (channel catfish), 667 nucleotides. The record is from Ensembl. NCBI's taxonomy places the organism in Eukaryota, Metazoa, Chordata, Actinopteri, Siluriformes, Ictaluridae.